GACGAACGCUGGCGGCGUGCUUAACACAUGCAAGUCGAACGGAAAGGGCGUGGCUUGGUGGGGUGCUCGAGUGGCGAACGGGUGAGUAACACGUGAGUAACCUGCCCUUGACUUUGGGAUAAGUGCAGGAAACUGGGGCUAAUACCGGAUAGGAGCUGCGACGGCAUGGUGAGGGGUGGAAAGUAUCGUCGGUUGGGGAUGAGCUCGCGGCUUAUCAGCUUGUUGGUGGGGUAGUGGCUUACCAAGGCGUUGACGGGUAGCCGGCCUGAGAGGGUGACCGGCCACAUUGGGACUGAGACACGGCCCAGACUCCUACGGGAGGCAGCAGUGGGGAAUAUUGCACAAUGGGCGGAAGCCUGAUGCAGCAACGCCGCGUGCGGGAUGACGGCCUUCGGGUUGUAAACCGCUUUCGCCUGUGACGAAGCGUAAGUGACGGUAACUGGUAAAGAAGCACCGGCUAACUACGUG
This 468-nucleotide ribosomal RNA is filed under the name uncultured bacterium. RNAcentral describes it as "partial 16S ribosomal RNA". It matches the Rfam family "Bacterial small subunit ribosomal RNA", at positions 28 to 507 of the family's 1533-position model. The record is from RNAcentral.